This 478-nucleotide ribosomal RNA is filed under the name uncultured bacterium. RNAcentral describes it as "partial 16S ribosomal RNA". It matches the Rfam family "Bacterial small subunit ribosomal RNA", at positions 28 to 523 of the family's 1533-position model. The record is from RNAcentral.
GACGAACGCUGGCGGCGUGCUUAACACAUGCAAGUCGAACGGUAAGGCCCUUCGGGGUACACGAGUGGCGAACGGGUGAGUAACACGUGGGUGAUCUGCCCUGCACUUCGGGAUAAGCCUGGGAAACUGGGUCUAAUACCGGAUAGGACCACUGCCUGCAUGGGUGGUGGUGGAAAGCUUUUGCGGUGUGGGAUGGGCCCGCGGCCUAUCAGCUUGUUGGUGGGGUGAUGGCCUACCAAGGCGACGACGGGUAGCCGGCCUGAGAGGGUGACCGGCCACACUGGGACGGAGAUACGGCCCAGACUCCUACGGGAGGCAGCAGUGGGGAAUAUUGCACAAUGGGCGCAAGCCUGAUGCAGCGACGCCGCGUGAGGGAUGACGGCCUUCGGGUUGUAAACCUCUUUCAGUAGGGACGAAGCGCAAGUGACGGUACCUACAGAAGAAGGACCGGCCAACUACGUGCCAGCAGCCGCAGUAA